AACAGGAUUAGAUACCCUGGUAGUCCACGCCGUAAACGAUGAGUGCUAGGUGUUAGGGGGGUCCAACCCCUUAGUGCUGAAGUCAACACAUUAAGCACUCCGCCUGGGGAGUACGACCGCAAGGUUGAAACUCAAAGGAAUUGACGGGGGCCCGCACAAGCAGUGGAGCAUGUGGUUUAAUUCGAAGCAACGCGAAGAACCUUACCAGGUCUUGACAUCCUCUGACAACCCUAGAGAUAAGGCUUUCCCCUUCGGGGGACAGAGAGACAGGUGGUGCUUGGUUGUCGUCAGCUCGUGUCGUGAGAUGUUGGGUUAAGUCCCGCAACGAGCGCAACCCUUGAUCUUAGUUGCCAGCAUUCAGUUGGGCACUCUAAGGUGACUGCCGGUGACAAACCGGAGGAAGGUGGGGAUGACGUCAAAUCAUCAUGCCCCUUAUGACCUGGGCUACACACGUGCUACAAUGGGUGGUACAAAGGGCUGCGAGACCGCGAGGUUAAGCGAAUCCCAUAAAGCCACUCCCAGUUCGGAUUGCAGGCUGCAACUCGCCUGCAUGAAGCCGGAAUUGCUAGUAAUCGCGGAUCAGCAUGCCGCGGUGAAUCCGUUCCCGGGCCUUGUACACACCGCCCGUCACACCACGAGAGUUUGUAACACCCGAAGUCGGUGAGGUAACCUUUUGGAGCCAGCCGCCGAAGGUGGGACAAAUAAUUGGGGUGAAGUCGUAACAAGGUAACC
This 732-nucleotide ribosomal RNA is filed under the name uncultured bacterium. RNAcentral's name for it is "bacterial SSU rRNA". It matches the Rfam family "Bacterial small subunit ribosomal RNA", at positions 771 to 1501 of the family's 1533-position model. The record is from RNAcentral.